Molecule: long non-coding RNA, 530 nt
Organism: Macrobrachium nipponense
Lineage: Eukaryota; Metazoa; Arthropoda; Malacostraca; Decapoda; Palaemonidae
Exons: 2
Source: RefSeq, a predicted model, not a curated record
UUAAAUGCUUGGUACUCUUUAAGUGUCCUUCCUGCGGUUGUUAAAGGUUGGUUAACCAUUUGACUGACUCCUCCUGCUUUUCAUUCUUCUAACCCGACGUGGCUGAGUAACGACAGAGGAGGAGAGAGUCGGAACGAGACUACUGGUAACAGAACCUCAAGAGAAACCAAGCUUUUGGUGACCAAGGGGAGCAUAUUCUUGGUUUCCCAUUUUAUAUUGAAGAAGUAUGCAUCUCAUGCAUUGCUAAAAGAUAAUCGUCCAGAUCCCAGGCAUUUCUCAUCAUUAUGGAUACAAGGAAAUUAUUCUGCCUUCGCCAUCAUCGCAGUCUUCAUGCUUGGAUUGAUACGACGAGGAAGAAAAGCUGAUAUUGAGCCAGGAAGACCCUUAGAUUUGGAAAUCUUCAUAAUACAUUUACUUAAGAUGUUAUCUUGAUUACUUAAAAGUUAAUAUUGCGUUGUGUUCUGUUACAUUAAUUACUUAUAUUUACAUAAUAGCAUAGUUUCUUUCAUAAAUAAAUUUUUUUUUAUAAA